GACGAACGCUGGCGGCGUGCUUAACACAUGCAAGUCGAACGGAAAGGCCCUGCUUUUGUGGGGUGCUCGAGUGGCGAACGGGUGAGUAACACGUGAGUAACCUGCCCUUGACUUUGGGAUAACUUCUGGAAACUGGGGCUAAUACCGGAUAGGAGCUCCUGCUGCAUGGUGGGGGUUGGAAAGUUUCGGCGGUUGGGGAUGGACUCGCGGCUUAUCAGCUUGUUGGUGGGGUAGUGGCUUACCAAGGCUUUGACGGGUAGCCGGCCUGAGAGGGUGACCGGCCACAUUGGGACUGAGAUACGGCCCAGACUCCUACGGGAGGCAGCAGUGGGGAAUAUUGCACAAUGGGCGGAAGCCUGAGGCAGCAACGCCGCGUGCGGGAUGACGGCCUUCGGGUUGUAAACCGCUUUCGCCUGUGACGAAGCGUGAGUGACGGUAAUGGGUAAAGAAGCACCGGCUAACUACGUG
Molecule: ribosomal RNA, 468 nt
Filed under: uncultured bacterium
Lineage: Bacteria
Description: partial 16S ribosomal RNA
Rfam family: Bacterial small subunit ribosomal RNA
Source: RNAcentral